CGGAGGAUCCGAGCGUUAUCCGGAUUUAUUGGGUUUAAAGGGAGCGUAGGUGGAAGAUUAAGUCAGCCUGUGAAAGUUUGCGGCUCAACCGUAAAAUUGCAGUUGAUACUGGUUUUCUUGAGUGCAGUAGAGGUGGGCGGAAUUCGUGGUGUAGCGGUGAAAUGCUUAGAUAUCACGAAGAACUCCGAUUGCGAAGGCAGCUCACUGGACUGUAACUGACACUGAUGCUCGAAAGUGUGGGUAUCAAACAGGAUU
Molecule: ribosomal RNA, 255 nt
Filed under: uncultured bacterium
Lineage: Bacteria
Description: partial 16S ribosomal RNA
Rfam family: Bacterial small subunit ribosomal RNA
Source: RNAcentral